This 166-nucleotide long non-coding RNA is filed under the name Bos indicus x Bos taurus (hybrid cattle). Its description in RNAcentral is "lncRNA (ENSBIXG00000004942.1)". Lineage: Eukaryota; Metazoa; Chordata; Mammalia; Artiodactyla; Bovidae. The record is from RNAcentral.
AUCAAGAGGAGGAAUUCUAGCUUCCCAGGUUGAAAUUUGUCUGAUCUUGUGGCUUUGUAACCCUACUUUUGGCAACAGAUAUCAAAGACAUUCAGUGGACGGCACAGUCCAAUUUUCACUUGGGCCCUGUGCUAUCCAGCUAUGUGACUACCUAACUCCCUGGGUG